UAGGGAAUAUUGCUCAAUGGGAGAAAUCCUGAAGCAGCAACGCCGCGUGGAGGAUGAAGGGUCUAUGACUUGUAAACUCCUGUAAAGAAGGAAAAAAUUCCCAUUAGAUGGGAGAUGAUGGUACUUCUGGAGUAAGCACCGGCUAACUACGUGCCAGCAGCCGCGGUAAUACGUAGGGGGCAAGCGUUGUCCGGAUUUACUGGGUGUAAAGGGUGCUCAGGCGGAUUUGUAAGUCAGAGGUGAAAUCUUACAGCUUAACUGUGAAACUGCCUUUGAUACUGCAAGCCUAGAGUAUGGAAGAGAGUGAUGGAAUAUCUGGUGUAGCAGUGAAAUGCGUAGAUAUCAGAUAGAACACCAAUGGCGAAGGCAGUCACUUGGUCCAUUACUGACGCUAAAGCACGAAAGCGUGGGUAGCAAACA
RNAcentral lists this ribosomal RNA (420 nucleotides) under uncultured bacterium. RNAcentral describes it as "bacterial SSU rRNA". It matches the Rfam family "Bacterial small subunit ribosomal RNA", at positions 355 to 774 of the family's 1533-position model. The record is from RNAcentral.